UACGUAGGGUGCAAGCGUUAAUCGGAAUUACUGGGCGUAAAGCGUGCGCAGGCGGUUUUGUAAGUCUGACGUGAAAUCCCCGGGCUCAACCUGGGAAUUGCGUUGGAGACUGCAAGGCUGGAGUCUGGCAGAGGGGGGUAGAAUUCCACGUGUAGCAGUGAAAUGCGUAGAGAUGUGGAGGAACACCGGUGGCGAAGGCAGCCCCCUGGGUCAAGACUGACGCUCAUGCACGAAAGCGUGGGGAGCAAACAGG
Molecule: ribosomal RNA, 253 nt
Filed under: uncultured bacterium
Lineage: Bacteria
Description: partial 16S ribosomal RNA
Rfam family: Bacterial small subunit ribosomal RNA
Source: RNAcentral